This 795-nucleotide ribosomal RNA is filed under the name uncultured bacterium. RNAcentral describes it as "bacterial SSU rRNA". It matches the Rfam family "Bacterial small subunit ribosomal RNA", at positions 8 to 796 of the family's 1533-position model. The record is from RNAcentral.
AGAGUUUGAUCCUGGCUCAGAUUGAACGCUGGCGGCGUGCCUAACACAUGCAAGUCGAGCGGUAACAGGUGUAGCAAUACAUGCUGACGAGCGGCGAACGGGUGAGUAAUGCUUCGGAAUCUACCCUCUAGUGGGGAAUAACCAGCCGAAAGGUUGGCUAAUACCGCAUACGUCCUACGGGAGAAAGCAGGGGAUCGUAAGACCUUGCGCUGAUGGAUGAGCCGAAGUCGGAUUAGCUAGUUGGUGAGGUAACGGCUCACCAAGGCGACGAUCCGUAGCUGGUCUGAGAGGACGACCAGCCACACUGGGACUGAGACACGGCCCAGACUCCUACGGGAGGCAGCAGUGGGGAAUAUUGGACAAUGGGGGCAACCCUGAUCCAGCGACGCCGCGUGUGUGAAGAAGGCCUGCGGGUUGUAAAGCACUUUUAGUGGGGAUGAAAUGUGCAGGGUUAAUACCUCUGCAUUUUGACCUAACCCACAGAAAAAGCACCGGCUAACUCUGUGCCAGCAGCCGCGGUAAUACAGAGGGUGCAAGCGUUAAUCGGAAUUACUGGGCGUAAAGCGUGCGCAGACGGUUAUAUAAGUCGGGUGUGAAAGCCCCGGGCUCAACCUGGGAAUUGCAUUCGAGACUGUGUAGCUAGGGUACGGAAGAGGGAAGCGGAAUUUCAGGUGUAGCGGUGAAAUGCGUAGAUAUCUGAAGGAACACCAGUGGCGAAAGCGGCUUCCUGGUCCAGUACCGACGUUCAGGCACGAAAGCGUGGGGAGCAAACAGGAUUAGAUACCCUAGUAGUCC